Molecule: ribosomal RNA, 506 nt
Filed under: uncultured bacterium
Lineage: Bacteria
Description: partial 16S ribosomal RNA
Rfam family: Bacterial small subunit ribosomal RNA
Source: RNAcentral
GAUGAACGCUAGCUACAGGCUUAACACAUGCAAGUCGAGGGGUAACAAGAGAAAAGCUUGCUUUUCUUGUUGACGACCGGCGCACGGGUGAGUAACGCGUAUCCAACCUGCCUAUAACUAGGGAAUAACCUUGCGAAAGUAAGACUAAUACCCUAUGAUUUCCUUUGAUGGCAUCAGAUUAGGAAUAAAGAUUUAUCGGUUAUAGAUGGGGAUGCGUCUGAUUAGCUUGUUGGCGGGGUAACGGCCCACCAAGGCAACGAUCAGUAGGAGUUCUGAGAGGAAGGUCACCGACAUGGGAACUGAGACACGGUCCAAACUCCAACGGGAGGCAGCAGUGAGGAAUAUUGGUCAAUGAGCGGAAGCCUGAACCAGCCAAGUAGCGUGCAGGAUGACGGCCCUAUGGGUUGUAAACUGCUUUUAUACAGGAAUAAAGUUAGCCACGUGUGGUUAUUUGUAGGUACUGUAUGAAUAAGGACCGGCUAAUUCCGUGCCAGCAGCCGCCGUAA